CCUACGGGUGUCAGCAGUGAGGAAUAUUGGUCAAUGGGCGCAAGCCUGAACCAGCCAUGUCGCGUGAAGGAUGACUGCUCUAUGGGUUGUAAACUUCUUUUAUAAAGGGAUAAAGUGAGGUACGUGUACCUUUUUGUAUGUACUUUAUGAAUAAGGAUCGGCUAACUCCGUGCCAGCAGCCGCGGUAAUACGGAGGAUCCGAGCGUUAUCCGGAUUUAUUGGGUUUAAAGGGUGCGUAGAUGGGUUGUUAAGUCAGUGGUGAAAGUUUGUGGCUCAACCGUAGAAUUGCCAUUGAUACUGGCAGCCUAGAGUACAGUUGAGGUAGGCGGAAUUCGUGGUGUAGCGGUGAAAUGCUUAGAUAUCACGCAGAACACCGAUUGCGAAGGCAGCCUACCAAGCUACUACUGACGUUGAUGCACGAAAGUGUGGGUAUCAAACAGGAUUAGAUACCCGAGUAGUC
RNAcentral lists this ribosomal RNA (460 nucleotides) under uncultured bacterium. RNAcentral describes it as "partial 16S ribosomal RNA". It matches the Rfam family "Bacterial small subunit ribosomal RNA", at positions 338 to 795 of the family's 1533-position model. The record is from RNAcentral.